This is a long non-coding RNA of Aethina tumida (small hive beetle), 295 nucleotides long. RefSeq lists it as uncharacterized. The transcript has 2 exons. Lineage: Eukaryota; Metazoa; Arthropoda; Insecta; Coleoptera; Nitidulidae. The record is from RefSeq and is a predicted model, not a curated record.
CACAGUUUGAAUAAAUCACUAUAAGAAUGAAGUUGGGAUUCGUAUUAAUUUUAACUAUUCUGAUAGUGUCAGUCUUUUUCGGUAGUACCGAAGCUGGAUGGCUGAAGAAGAAACUGAAAAAAGUGGAAAAAGCUGGGCAGAGAGUUAGAGAUGCUGCAGAAAAAGCUUUACCUAUUGUCGCUGGUUAUGCCCCAAUUAUUGCCGCAGUAGGAAGAUAAGUCCGUAUUUUAUUUAUUGUAUUAUAUUUAUUUUCUGUAUGUGCCAUAGUUUAUAAUAAAAUUAAAAAAUAGAUAUA